AGAACUUUUAUCAGUAUUCUGAACAGUCUUCUGUUUUCGUGGUUGGUACUAGUGGAAUUGGUUUCUGUUUCCCUCCUCCUUUAACAGGUGCUUGGUGGAAUUAACUGAAUGAUAGAGGUAACUACCUGUUUGUAAAUGUUUGUUUGCACUCGCUGAUUCUGCUGAACCUCCAUGAGUUGAGAUCGGGAAAAUUUGGCUGAUAAGUUUCUUGUGCCUAAAUCAGCAAGCACUGGCAUGGAUUGGUUCUUAGGAUUUAUGUAUCCUAAAUGUACUACAGAAAAUUCUUGGAGGGACAUGGCCGUCACUGGUCGUGUUGGAAUCCACCACCUGUCCAGUAGUAGUUUGAGUAUGACAUUAAGGCUUUUUUUAAUCAUUAAAUGAUAAAGAGUAUCACAUUGAGGCUAUGAAUAGCUAUUUGAUUCAUGCUCCUUGUUUAACUUCUUUCCUUCAAUAGAAUAAUGUUAUUUUGUAUUAUUUGAAUUCACUUUGGCAUCUUUAACUUCCUAACUUUCAGGUUUUCCGAUUAUUAUAUCCUAUACUCUAAAAAAUUAAGUAUAAUGAUGUAUUCACAUCCAACAACAACAACAACAUGCCUAGUGUAAUCCCACAAAUGGGGUCUGGUGACACUAAUACGCAGACCACACCGGCCUGUAUAAAUCAUUCUGCUAAUCUUGUAGUAUUGCCACCACCUCAUUGCCCGUGUUACAAUCCAGCAGCCUUCUAUUUUGUUUGACCUGAUUUCUAUUUUAAACUGUAGAUUGACGUCUGUCCUUCAACAGAAAUUGUACAAUUAUCAGGAAGUUAAUUGACAUAAAUCAUAGUAUUUUAUAUUAUUUUGAAUUUGCUUUGACAUCUUAGAUCUCCAAGCGUUUUGCGUAUCCCAAUCAUUAUUUCCUAUACUCUUAAUAAAUUAAAACAUAACAUUGUAUUGCGACUUUCUAGUAUAAAACUAUGUGCUUGCUAAAGCCUAAAGUAGGUGGUUCAGUUUUGGAAGGAGGGACUAUCUUAUGCAUUCAAUGUAAAUACAGUUCUCAGAUUUGAACUUAACACAAUUAAUUGUUACGUUUUAGUAAUUUCAGUUGUUUUUUUCGUCAGCCUAGUAGUCUACUAGUCUUUCAAUUGUUUUCCUGUCCACUGUAGUUUGAAUCUUAAACAUCUCUGCGAUCUUGUUAUAUUUUCUUGAAUGUGAUAUUCUUUAGUUAGAUUAGUAAUGUAUGUAUAUAAACUGUAGCACUCUGGGUUGAAUUUUACAAUCUAAAAAAAAAUGGAUUAUUCAUGCAUUCAGUUCUUUUGUAAUUAAUCUGUGAUACAACAACAUACCUAGUGCAAUUCCACAAAGUAGGGUCUGGAGAGGGUAGAGUGUAUGCAGACCUUACGACUACCUGUGAUAUACGAAAAAUAUAUUUUCAGUAGAGCAUCAGUAGAAAGUAGUUACUUGAGAUUUGGUAGUACAGUUUAUCUUGUCCAGAAUAAGAUUUUGAAGCCUUUAAAGAUACAAAAGAAAAA
This is a long non-coding RNA of Solanum dulcamara, 1506 nucleotides long. RefSeq lists it as uncharacterized. Lineage: Eukaryota; Viridiplantae; Streptophyta; Magnoliopsida; Solanales; Solanaceae. The record is from RefSeq and is a predicted model, not a curated record. The transcript is spliced from 2 exons.